UCAAAACUAGUUUGUUUAAACUAUAUAAUUGGCAUAAAUCUGAUCAUGAUAAGAAUGUUGGGGCUAGUCCUUUAAGUGCACCAGGGAGCACUUCCCUUGGAGAAGCAUCUUCCCAACCAAAAGAACCAUCACCUUUUACAAGGGCUAAUGCUUUUAAGAAACAUCUGAAGGAAAAAGACACAAUUGAAAAUGAAAAUGAACUAGAGAAGUACUUAGGUGACCCUUGUUGCGGGGAGGGGGAAAAUUUUAGUAUUCUUAAUUGGUGGAAGGAAAAUUGCACCCGUUAUCCUAUAUUAGCAACCUUGGUUCGGGAUGUGUUGGAAACACCUGUUUCUAGUGUAGCCUCAGAAAGUGCUUUUAGCACGGGGGGAGGAUUUUAGAUAUCUAUAGGAGCUCUUUGAGUCCAGAUAUGGUCGAAGCGCUUAUAUGUACUCAAAACUGGUUGAAGCCUUCUGACAAUGAUCUAAAUGUCCUUAAUAUGACUGAAGAAUAUGAGAUUAGUGAAUCAAUUGUUUCAGAGUUUCAAGUAGCUACUGGUGGAGCAGCUGCUCCUACACAGGUUGGGCCUGUUUAAUUCUCGCCUAGCUGUGAAUUUUUGAAUAUUUUGGAGUCACUUUGUGAUUCAAUAAGACAAGCCUUUCUUUUUUGGAGUCAUUUUUUGAAACUAAGGAUGGAACCGUUUCAGUAGCUACUGCGUUUGCUGGUCAUCAGGCACGUUGUCUUGGGCUUAUGCAAUUGUUCUUACCGAAUAUACUGGGAUGAUGUUACUUGAGGAGAUGGCCUGUGUAAUGUUCUCUUGCCUGUGUUGUUAGUUCUGUGCCUUCUCAUUCAAGUUCCAUUGAGUGUGUUGGGUUCGCACCAAGGUAUGAUUUAAGAUUAGUAAACUUUUUAUAAGAUUAGUUAACUGUUCAUAAUCUGCGUGCAUGUGCAUUUCUGCACAUUUUCAUGUCAUGUAUGCUUGAUGGAUC
Lathyrus oleraceus (garden pea) is the source of this 968-nucleotide long non-coding RNA. RefSeq lists it as uncharacterized. The record is from RefSeq and is a predicted model, not a curated record. NCBI's taxonomy places the organism in Eukaryota, Viridiplantae, Streptophyta, Magnoliopsida, Fabales, Fabaceae. The transcript is spliced from 5 exons.